Long non-coding RNA from Marmota monax (woodchuck), 8570 nucleotides. RefSeq lists it as uncharacterized. Lineage: Eukaryota; Metazoa; Chordata; Mammalia; Rodentia; Sciuridae. The record is from RefSeq and is a predicted model, not a curated record. The transcript is spliced from 3 exons.
UGGACCCUGAAGAGCAGCAGGGCUGUGGCCAGCCAGCGCCCAGAGGAGAGGACCCCGGCUCGCCCGAGUCUCUGUGGUGGAGUGAUUAAACAAACCUCAGCCUCAGAGGGUCAGCUGGCCCCAGACGGUGACUCAGAGGGGCUGCUCUUGGGAGGGACCCGAGUGGCAGUGGGGUAGGUGGGACCUUUGCUUUCUGUGUCUGGUGGCUCUCCAUCUGGGCUCAAUGACCUCAUGAAGCCGACUCAGGCCGCCCACCCUUCUCUCACAGAGGGACACUCAGGCCUCACGUGGGUGUUCCCGGCUCUGCAAGGCCAGGGUCAGGGUGGUGGCCUGGGAAGGCCCGGCUCUGUGCUCUUGCUGACCAGCUCAUCGCCCCUGGGGAGCCAGCCCCACCUCCAGGACUGGCCACUCUAAGCAGCAGCCAGCACUCUGUGGGAAGGGACAGUGGCCCUGCUGCAGGAAAAGGACCUUGUAAAGACACUUUUUCAGCCAGGGCUUUGCAAACUGGGGAGCACUGUGUGGUCACCUGUGUCCAGUCACUAAGGGCUGAGACCAACAUGUGCAAGGCCCCGGGGCAUAGCCACGUCCGGGGCAGAGGUGGGUGUCCUCUGCUGUCCCCUGCCAGAGCCUCUCCUCACACUUCCUGUCUGGAUCAGAGCCCUAGUCUGAAGCCUGAGGCUGCUGAGCAGAUGACCCCUGUAGGCCCGAGGCAGUGCUCCUCCACCCCCUCCCUCCCUCAGGGCCGUGGACCAGCUCCGAGUGCCUGAGGGUGACCCGAAACUCCCUGUAGCCAUGACAGUGGGCCCAGCUCUUGGGAACCCAGGCUGGCCACCACAGCACACUCCCGGUCAGUCCGUGUAGUGCCAUACACUCCAUUCAUCAUAAUUAUUUUAAUUAAGAAGAUAAGAAACAGCUCAUCAAAGAUUUAAUUAUAAUGAGCAGCUAACAACACUUGGAUGAGUCACAUGACCCGAGUGGCUGCUGGUUCUCACCUCCCUGUCAGGCACCGAAGACAGCGCAGGAGGCACCCAGAAGGUAGGGUCCCGGCCUCCCAACACCGUGAGGGGCCCCGCCAGCCCUGACUGUCCCCAGUUGGGAGGACCGUCCUGGUGUGGCCACUGGCCUGAGCUCAGGAGGGUGCACAUCCCAUGGUGUCCUCGAUCUCCGUGGAGGACAUUCGCUUUGUGCCCCGCCCUGGCCACACCCACCACAGGGCACGCUCUCCAGGCCAGCUCCUGGUUCACUGCUGGGACCCGAGGAAGGAGCACAUGGAGGGCCCGGGAGCUCUCUCGGCUGGGCCUGGGGCUGGGAGCUGGGUACAGGGAAGACUUCCUGGAAGGGCCUGGGCCUGGCUUGAGAGUGGGUGGCAGCCUGCAGGCCACCUGGGGACACUGGCCUAGAACCCACAGAAACAGGGGCAGUGGGAGCAGCUUGAGAUGGGCACCAGUAGUGUGUGCUGGGCCCACUGCCCGGGCUCCGUGUACCCUGGUAGUGCGAUGUCACCUUCAGAGGCCCCUGUCUCCUUUGGGGAUGCUGACCCUGCCCUCACAGAAUGGAAGGAGGCUGCCACGGCCUGCCUGAUCUAGGCUGGACAUGGAGUGGGCAGAAGGGCACCAGAGCCCCAGCGCAGGCCGGAGGUGCUGGGGUCAGGGCUCACCUCUUUCCAGACAGCCUGGGUCACAGCCGGGAGCUCUGAGCACCCAGGGGACAUGAGGCCCUGUCCCUGCUCUCCUGCUCUUGCUGGUCACUGGCAGAGGCGCCGUGCUGAGCCGGCCUGGCCCUGAUGUGGAGUGCUGCUGGCCCCGGGCCCUGAGGAGGUCCUUUUCCUCUUCCGGCAGCACUGCCCGGCCUCUGCCUGUCUUCCCUGGCCCCCAGCCCCUCACGCCUCCUGGUCUUGAAGCAUCUCUCCUUCCUCUUGUGACCCUAGUCAUUGGAUUGGGGUCCACCUUCAGUCCAGGGUGAUCAUAUCUUGGUAUCGGAGUCACCUCUGCAGACACCAAAUAAGGUCACAUUUACAAGUGUCAGGGUUUGGAUGUGGACACAGCAUUGGGGACAGAUACUGAAACCGUGUGGCUGGUGGCAAGUCACUGACCCUCUCUGAGCCUCUGCUUACACACAUUGAGUAGGAGCCUCCCUCUGAGGGAAGCCAAGGACCAGUGGGUCCAUAUUCCAUGGCCUGUCCAUAGCAGGUUCUCAGGGCCUUCCGAGAAUUAGGACCAGAGGAUGGGAACAGACACUGUCUCAGGGACUUGGUAGUCCUCCCCCGUGGCUACCGGGGGCAGUACUGAGCUCAUCUGUCCCUGGGUCAGACACGGGCCUCCACCUCCCUCGGGGAGGCAGGGACAUCACUUCCCGGGUCCUUCCAGGCCUCCAGCCAGGAGGCCCUCUAGGUAUUGCACACCCGUUCAAGCUGAAAGAAAUUGCAAACCAAAUUAGCCAAAGAUUUAAUAGAAAUUGAUUUUGACUUAAAGCCCUUCGAGUGCUCACUCUGCAGAUGGCCACUCCGCUGACCGCCCCACUGUGUCUGAUCUGAUCUGGGACCUUGCAGGGCUCCUCCUGAUGAGGCAGCUUUUCUUAUUGUCUCCCGGUGACCACUGAGCUCCACCUCCAGGCUGCACGGGAAUCGGUGUCCUCUCUCCUUCCAACCUGGCGUCUCUGCACACGAGAAGAAACAUUCCCCUGAACUGAGUUGGAGCUGACAUCUUGCUGCGGGAGCCUAGAAGCAUCAGGUGUGAAGGACGUGCAGCCCUCUCCUGGCCCAGAAUCAUGCUGGUGACCCACUACGAGGAGAUGCAAGUGUACAGAUGAGCAAGACAGGAGCAGUUCUCAUUGCUGAAUUUCAAAUAAAAUAAAAAGAAAAGUGCUUUUGAGGACACUCAAGCCCUUCAGACGGUGACUCCGCCGCUGGCCGUGACAGAGCCUGACUCCUGCCCAGGAAGGUGCCGCGCAUCCCUGGGACCACACAGGUUCCUUCUGAUCCUAUUUCUGGAAGCUGAAAGCUGGAGAGAUGGAUGUGGCUCUUUGAAGCUUGACGGGGCUCGGGGAGGCGGGUCCUGGCCGCCGCAGCAUUUCUCUGAGAGAAGAAAGAGGCCGGUGCCCGGAGACCCCGCGCUCCCACGAGGGCUUCUGUGUUUAGAGACGCUUUUCCUCCAGGGGAUGCUCACUGGCCGCCCAGAGAGGCCACAGGUAGCAGUAAGCAUGGCUCUGCCCACCCCUCAUCCACCCUCUUUCUUAGGUAUCGAUCGACUCCCUGUUUCCUCCCAAAGGACCCCUCCCAAGCCAGCCACCCCGACUGUGACCCAAGCCAGCUAAUCUGCGUCCGGGGGGAGACAGAAGUUUAUAGGAAGCCAAGAGUAGUAGCUCUGUGCCUGGAGUGUCCAUGACCACCUAUGUCCCCCUGGAGUGGAAGCCAAAUAAAACUACACAGGAAAGCAGAGGAGAGAGAGAGAGAGACUCGCGUGACCUUUGAGAUUGUACAGUCUAAACCUCCUGGAUCCAGCUGUGCCUGAAGCUCAUCAUCUGCCCCUUACAUUUUCCAAUUCUAUGGAGCAAUCAACUGUCCUAUUUCAAGUUUUGAGAGAGACAUCUGCCAUUUGCACAGGAAAAAUCUCUGACCACUAAGUUAGAAGCCACCCUCGGGACUGGUCUGGCUGGCCAGCUGCCUCCUGGAGGCACAAGUGCCAGACAGGACGCCACCACUCUGGGGGGAAGAGCCAUCUUGCUGGGGGUGGGGGGCUCUCACCAGGCCCUGCAGCCUCUUCAGCUGAGGUCACGGCUCAGAGACCACAAAAGGCAGGGCCACCUCCAGGCAGGAAAACCCACCCUGCUACAGCACCCUCCACAGGGGCCACCCCCACGCGUCCAGCCUGCCGCCAGCCCCUGAAUGAUGUUGUGAAGCACAAAGUUUAAGUCAGGGUCUGGCUGCACGGGCCUGCAGCAGGGCCAGCUCCUCUGGCCACACUCAUCAGGAGGUUCUCUGGGCCUCCGGGCGCGUGUUGGAGGAGCUGCGAGGCAGGGUCGGGCUGCGGGUGGCCAACUCUUGGCAGGCACUCUGGUGCCGCACAGGCCCCCAGCGCACCUCCUGCUGCCACCUCCACUCCCGCCUCGGGCACUGGCUGGUCAGCGGGCCACGGGCAAGGCGUCCCUGUCCCUUGCCACACACCUCUCCAGCUCACGCCUCCAUACUCACGGACCACCACAAAGGCCAGUCGGCCACGCAGCGCUUGGUCUGAGGAGCCUAAGAACAGGUGGGGCACCCGCAAGGACACCCCAGGGCUGGCGCAGAGGUACGGCCAGCCGCCGUGAGCGCCCAGGGCCUACCUGGCCUCUCGCUCCCUCCCUCACCUCCCCGUGAAUCUAUUUUAAAAGAUCAUAGUUUUCUUUACAUCCACCUCGGAGCUGUGCCAGGGAGAAGGGGGGCACACACAUGUCGGACUGGCCGCGGGGAAAGCCGCCGGGUAGCGCAGCCCAGCUGGGGGCUCCCGCAGACCCCCGUCCAGCCCCCCGCCCUGCCAGGUGGAGGCAGAGGCCAUGCUGCACCCCCUUGGGGACCUGGGGGCCCUCACCUGGCUCCACACUGGUGUCCCAGGGCUUGAGGCAGGGCCUGGGGAUCUGGGGGGACCCAGCAUGUGAGCGGCCACCUGUAUUGGGCCCGUGCUUCCCCAAAGCCCACCUGGGCAGGCGGCUGAGCACAGCCCUGGCUUCCACCGUGUCUGGGCCCCGGUCGGUACGCCCUUGACCCCGCUGCCCUCCUGGGUCAGGAGGACCAGUUCUGCUGUCCCCCAGGCCUGACUCUCGCGGGGCUGCCAUGGCACACUGCGGUCAGAGCGCUUGGCCUCUCUCUGGGCCUCCAGGCAGGGCCUGGGCUCUCUGGAGACUCAUCCCCUGGACCAUUCACCUCCGCUUCCAAGACGGCCCCCUGCCCAGGGAAGCGGUCCUGAGGCCCUCUGCCCCUCCUGCAGUGUUGGGCAUGUGGACUCUGCCUUCAGGUGUCCAGAGGGAGUUCCUCACUGAGGGCGUGAGAUUCUAGGAGUGGACAGACCUAGGCCAAGUGGCCAGCAUGUCCCAGGUUGGCCCCGGAGACGGCAGCACACUCCCUGCUUUGGGUGCCGUGGCCCACCACCUGCGUGGUCUGGGACCCUGGGUGCCCUCGGAAGCCUGGUGGGUGACCAGGCCUGGCAAGAGCAGGGAGUGCUCCAAGGGGGUGCUCGGGCUCUGGAGCUGGGCCUUCGCCAGCAGCCUCAGGAUCCAGCCCUGGCUGUGGCCACACCCGGGACUCCAGGGAGGACGGUCAUGCAGGGCCAGCGGGUCCUUCUGCCUCCCCUGGGGGGAGCCCAGCUAGGGGGGUAGGGGCCCAGCUGGGCUGGUAACCAACACCUGCAUGUCCACUCAAGGCCGCGGGCAGGCAGCAGGCUGGCCUGCCCCACCCGGCCCCUUCUGGGUCUAUUUUUGCUCUCUGACAACACAACAGAGGUAGCCGCUGGGACUUAUCUCUAGGACAGAGGCAGCUUUGUGCCCCGGCCCCUGGGCCUCCUCUCGUGACAAGAGCCCGUGGGGGAGGGGCUCCCUGACCAGACACCUCCCCAGGCUCUGAGGCCCUGCUCCGGGGAGGCCCCCAGCCAGCCAGUCCCCUGGCCAGGGCCAGGCGUUCCAAGAUGUCUCCGCAAGCCCGAGGGGGUCUCCUUCAGCCUCAAUGCCCCUCUGCCUCCCAGGCUCUGAGGCCCGCGCUGCCCGGCCACCAGCUCCCCGUCCAGGGAAGUCCCACGUCUCCUCCCCAGGGCCUGAGGUGAAGAGGUUGGGCAGAUGAUCUUAGCACAGACCGAGAGCCAGCUGGGAGGACGGCAGAACUGGGGGCUCCUGCGACAGGCCGCGGGGUUCCUGCUGGCUGGGCCGUCCUGCCCCUGCAUCUCUGCAACCAGGACUGCUGGACACCUCGAGGAGCCCAGCAGAAGAUGGCCAGCUGCACCCCUGUGUCACCAUCACGCUCCCCAGUGGCUGGCAGGAGUGAGCACAGUCGCCAGGCCAGGGGUCACCAUGGGUCAGCUCUGCAGCCCAGGAUGAGCCUGCUGGGUGCUGAUCUCAGGCAUCAGUGCCACUUCCCUGCCUUAAGGUGGUCAGGCUGGCCUUGAGCCACACCCACACAGUGCAGCCUGGAGGUAUGUUCCUCGAGGGGAGGGCCACCAGGGCUUCUCUGUCCUCAGAGCACCUCCUGACUGGGGCCACCUCCAGACCCUCCUCCUGUAGUCCUUCAGUCAAGGUGUGACUGUUGGUGGUCCACCUAGUAAUGGGCACAUCUCACCAAGGACCCAGUCAAGACUUCCUCCUACAGCCAGGCAUGGGGGUGCAUGCCUGUGAGCCCAGAGACCCGAGAGGCUGAGGCAGGAGGAUCUCAGGUUGGAGGCCAGCCUCAGUAGUUUAGUGAGACUUUGUCUCAAAGCAAAAACUAAAAUGGGCUGGAGAUGUAGCCCAAUGGUUAGGCACCCUGGAUCCAAUCCCCGGAACCAAAAUAAAAAGCCCAGUCAAGACAAAUGAAAAGACUGGGUCUUGCCGAUGACGGAGGGCCAGGUGGUCUGGGUGCCCUCUUCACCACCUGGACCAUGAAUGUGAGAGGCGGGGAGGAGCCCCGGGGACUUCGUGGGGACGCAGCCACCUGUCUGGUCACCAAAUCUGCCUUGAGAUGAGAGCCACAGCUCCGCAAGCCCAAACCGGGAGCAGGCGCACAGCCGCAGCGGACCCUGGCUCUGAGGUCUGCUCGCUGGGCCAGGACGGGCAUGAAGCCCGCCCUCGAGGGUCCCUGCAUGACCUACCCAACGGCAAGACACCAGGGACGUGCAGAUGGCCUCAUUCCACGACUCUGGAAGUCAGCCUUACGCAGGGUGGACGCACGCCGGAGUCCGAGGAGCCCCGUGCCGCCCCCCCCCCCCAGGAAGGCGCCACCGUCACGGCCACCCCAUCCAGGCUCCGGAAAGCCCUCUGCAGCAGCUGCGGUCAGUGCCCACCCACAAGCCCCUGCUUCCUCACCACGGGUCAGCUCUGCUCCUCCUGGGCUCUGUGAGAAGUCACUGGACAGGGCAGAGCCCGCCUCCUCCCUACCUGAUGCUGCCUCGGGGCUUCCAAGGUGCGCCCUCCCUGCCAGCUGCCCUCUGUGGGGGCCAUCUCUGCCCAGCCAGUGCCCCUGGGAGGGGGUCCCAGCCGCCCUCUAGUUGACCUGUCCUCAGCAAAGCUGCUCUAAGUGCUCUCUCAAAGGACUGUGCUUGGCCUCUCGUGGGCGUGCCUCUUGGGGGAGAGCUGCUGCCGGGGCAGGAGAAGGCUGGCCUUGGUCUCCAGAGGACAUGCGGGCCUUCCCGGUCCCACCAGCUGCCAGCUGCUCCGCAUCCCCUGCCCCAGGGAGGGGAGCGUCUGUGAACCCAGCUGUCUGGGGGAGGGGACGCCCCGCCCUGUGCUUUCAGCUGCCGGUCCCCGGCCUGCUGACACCGGCAGUUCCUCCCUUCUGUGUCCUCCUUCAUGGAUUUAUUUUUUGGUUCCAGGGAUUUAACCCAGGGCUGCUUCACCACGGACCCACAUCCCAGCCCAUUUCGAGACAGGGUCCUGCUAAGUUGCUCAGGGCCUCACCCAGCUGAGGCUGUCCUUGGACUUGCAAUCCUCCUGACUCAGCCUCCCAAGCUGUUGAGAUUACAGGCGUGGGACGCUGCGCCCAACACUGACCAUUUUAACGAAGGCAAGUCUGUCCCUUCCUCCUCUCCUCUGUCACUGCUUUGGUGUUGGCACGAGAACACGGUCCCCGGCAUUUUAUUUUGCAGGCAGCCACAGGAAGUGGCCGCUGAGGGCAGUGCUGGCCCCGGUGAGUGGGAGAAAGGGCCGCAGUCCCCCACCUGUUCCCCUGCUCUCCCGGCCCCACUGCCCGAGGCGGCCCCAGAUGGAGGCCUGGGGCCACCCACUGGCGGGCACUGCAGUGAGGGUGUGUGGGCCCCUCCCCGGGAGGACAGUGCCCAAGCGUGGCUCCUGGCAGGGCUCACUCUGCACGCUGAUCCGCAAGGGGCCAGGCCAUGCUGGGCCCCCUGGACCAUGGGCCUCCUCCACCUCUCCGUCUCCAGCUGUGGCUCUCUGGGCUCCUGCACUGUUGGGAUUGAGUCAACUCCUACAAAGUGACUCGGGGGUUUCUUUGAGGUUCCAAGCAACCAUCUGGACCUGGCACCCGUGACUGGGUGACCUCCCGCUUUCCAUCUGUCCGUCACUCUCAGCUGCGUGUCCUAGGUCUGAGCACAGGUAAUAACACACUUAGAUCCAUUCCUAAGUAUUCUAUAUGUUGACACCUGUCGAGAGCCACAGCCGAAGGGCCCCAGCAAACUUCCAGCUGAUUGGCUCAUUGCAGCCCCAGCAAACUUCCAGCUGCCAGCUGAUUGGCUCCUCUGCGGUGAUGCUCAUUGGGCUAUUUCCCUGCUCUUUCAGACCACGGAGCUGCUCAUUGGGGGAUUCUUUUGGCUCCGCCCACACGACCCAGCCAAUCGGCCUCAAGAGCAGGAGGAGUGGGGGUUGAGAGGCUGGUGGGAAGCCAGUGGUGGCAGUUGGGC